Molecule: long non-coding RNA, 1065 nt
Filed under: Oryctolagus cuniculus (rabbit)
Lineage: Eukaryota; Metazoa; Chordata; Mammalia; Lagomorpha; Leporidae
Description: lncRNA (ENSOCUG00000037554.1)
Source: RNAcentral
AUGAAAAGUUUCCUUCUCUGCGGCAGAACUGUGGGUGUGGCCACCCCGGUGUUUCUCCACCGAGCCGGGUGCUUUUCAGGCCCGGGGCCAGAGCACCCAACUGUCUCUUUCCGGUUGUUGGUGUUACCUGCCACAGGGUGCCAGGCCAUGCCAACCUGGUCUGCAUUUCUUGAUGCAACGUGGGAUGCAGGUAUGAUGCCUGGAACUCAUGCAGCUCCCCUGCAACCGUGAGGCUGAGGCUAAGAGAGGAGGAGACACUGCAGCUCUAAGAGUGAAAGGCAACCCCGGCAGCCUCCUGCCUCCAGGCUUCUGAUCAUGGGGAAAAACAGUGUCCUGUUUGUUCCAGCCUCUGGUAGGUUAUAGUUACUCUAUGUCAUGCUCUCUAGUGCAUGUUAGAACAACGGCACUGGUGAUGUGGUGUGGUGAUGGAAGGCCUGACUGAGCGAGAAGACAAAAACCUUUCUUUGGAGCAUGUGUUAGGGACCAGGCCCUGGACUUUCACACACUUUCUGAGUGUUCCCAGUGGUAGCAGAGACGUUGGUGCCAUUGUGACCAUUUGUAGUGGAGAGAGCUGAGGUCGGGUCAUUGUUCAAGCAGCCGGUUUAGUGAGAAGGACUGCUUUGUGAAGUGCUGGGGUCACGUGUCCAGUGGGGUUUCUCUGUCUCCAGAGCCUCGAUCUCUUACGAGGUUUUGUUUUCUCGCCCCCUAUUGCUUGUCGAGAGUGGACACUGGGGGCAGGCGCUGUGGUGCAGCAGGGAAAGCUGCCGCCUGCAGCGCUGGCAUCCCAUGUGGGUGCUGGGUUCAAGUCCCGACUGCUCCUCUUCUGAUCUGGCUCUUUGUUAUUGCACCUAGGAAAGCAGUGGAGGAUGGCCCAAGGCCUUGGGUCCCUGCACCCAUGCGGGAGUCCCAGAUGAAGCUCCUGGCUCCUGGCUUAGGCCUGGCCCAGCCCUAGUCAUUGCACCUAUUUGGGGAGUGAACCAGUGGAUGGAAGGUCUCUGUGUCUCCUUUUCCCUCUAACUCUACCUUUCAAAUAAAUAAAUCUUAAAAAAAGAAAGUAGCUGUUGG